This 1947-nucleotide ribosomal RNA is filed under the name human gut metagenome. RNAcentral's name for it is "bacterial LSU rRNA". It matches the Rfam family "Bacterial large subunit ribosomal RNA", at positions 3 to 1983 of the family's 2925-position model. The record is from RNAcentral.
UCAAGCUAAAAAGAGCGCAGGGUGGAUGCCUUGGCACUAAGAGCCGAUGAAAGACGUGAUAAGCUGCGAUAAGCUACGGGGAGGAGCACAUAUCCAUUGAUCCGUAGAUUUCUGAAUGGGGAAACCCGGCUGAGCAUACCUCAGUCACCGUGCACUGAAUCCAUAGGUGUACGGAGGGAACCCGGUGAACUGAAACAUCUAAGUAGCCGGAGGAAGAGAAAGAAAACUCGAUUUUCAAAGUAGCGGCGAGCGAAAUGGAAAGAGCCCAAACCGGAGUGCGUGCACUCCGGGGUUCGGACUGCAUUUAUGACUUCUGACUGUAGCGGAACGGUUCUGGAAAGACCGGCCAGAGAGGGUGAGAGCCCCGUAGGCGAAACGGAAAGAAGCAGAGCAGGAUCCAGAGUACCACGAGACACGAGAAACCUUGUGGGAAUAAGCGGGGACCACCCCGUAAGGCUAAAUACUCCUUAGUGACCGAUAGAGCAGAGUACUGUGAAGGAAAGGUGAAAAGGACCCCGGGAGGGGAGUGAAAGAGAACCUGAAACCCUGUGUUUACAAACUGUGGAAGUACCAUACGAGUACAACCGCGUACUUUUUGUAGAACGGUCCGGCGAGUUACGUUUACUGGCGAGGUUAAGCACUUAAGGUGCGGAGCCGAAGGGAUACCAAGUCUUAACAGGGCGUAAAGUCAGUGUACGUAGACCCGAAACCGGGUGAUCUACCCAUGUCCAGGCUGAAGUUGCCGUAAAAGGCAAUGGAGGGCCGAACGCACAUCCGUUGAAAAGGGUGGCGAUGAGGUGUGGGUAGGGGAGAAAUUCCAAUCGAACCCGGAGAUAGCUGGUUCUCCUCGAAAUAGCUUUAGGGCUAGCCUCGUUUUAGUCUUAUGGAGGUAGAGCACUGAAUUUCCGCGGGGGCGUCAAAGCUUACCAAAGAAUAUCAAACUCCGAAUGCCAUGUAGAUGAUGAACGGGAGUCAGACUGCACGAGAUAAGUUGGGCAGUCAAAAGGGAAAGAGCCCAGACCGCCAGCCAAGGUCCCAAAGUGUGUGUUAAGUGGAAAAGGAUGUGGGAUCUCCAAGACAACUAGGAUGUUGGCUCAGAAGCAGCCACACAUUCAAAGAGUGCGUAACAGCUCACUAGUCGAGAGGUCCUGCGCCGAAAAUGUCCGGGGCUGAAACACAACACCGAAGCUGCGGAAUUGCGAAUGCAAUUGGUAGAGGAGCAUUCUUAAUGCCGACGAAGCUGUACCGGAAGGAGCAGUGGAGGGAUAAGAAGAGAGAAUGCCGGAAUGAGUAGCGAGAGAGAGGUGGGAAUCCUCUCGGCCGAAUAUCCAAGGUUUCCAGAGUAAAGCUGAUCUGCUCUGGGUAAGUCGGGGCCUAAGGCGAGGUCAAAAGACGUAGCCGAUGGACAACAGGUUUAGAUUCCUGUACCGCAUAUAAACAGAACUGUGGGGACGCAUGGGGAGAGCAUGGGCCGGGAAUGGAAAUACCGGUGCAAGCGAAGGAGGUGUGCAGCCGGCAAAUCCGCUGCAUGAGCCGAAAGCGUGACGCGGAGCGAAAUGAAAGUAGCGAAGCAUGUGAGCCCUGUGCCGAGAAAAGCCGCUAUUGUUUUAUAUGUGCCCGUACCGUAAACCGACACAGGUGGAUGAGGAGAGAAUCCUAAGGCCGGCGGAAGAAGUAUUGUUAAGGAACUCGGCAAAAUGACCCCGUAACUUCGGGAGAAGGGGUGCCCACGGGAGUGGGCCGCAGAGAAUAGGCUCAAGCAACUGUUUAGCAAAAACACAGGUCUAUGCGAAACCGAAAGGUGAAGUAUAUGGGCUGACGCCUGCCCGGUGCUGGAAGGUUAAGAGGAGAGGUUAGCGCAAGCGAAGCUUUGAAUUUAAGCCCCAGUAAACGGCGGCCGUAACUAUAACGGUCCUAAGGUAGCGAAAUUCCUUGUCGGGUAAGUUC